GGUCCCGUGGUCCAAUGGAUAGGACGAUGGCCUCCGAAGCCGUAGGUGGUGGUUCGAUUCCACCCGGGACCACCA
Molecule: transfer RNA, 75 nt
Filed under: Verrucomicrobiota bacterium
Lineage: Bacteria; Pseudomonadati; Verrucomicrobiota
Also listed under: 2 other names
Description: tRNA-Arg
Rfam family: tRNA
About the family: Transfer RNA (tRNA) molecules are approximately 80 nucleotides in length. Their secondary structure includes four short double-helical elements and three loops (D, anti-codon, and T loops).
Source: RNAcentral